RNAcentral lists this ribosomal RNA (253 nucleotides) under uncultured bacterium. RNAcentral's name for it is "partial 16S ribosomal RNA". It matches the Rfam family "Bacterial small subunit ribosomal RNA", at positions 524 to 776 of the family's 1533-position model. The record is from RNAcentral.
UACAGAGGGUGCAAGCGUUGCUCGGAUUUACUGGGCGUAAAGCGUACGCAGACGGCAAGGCAGGUCGGAUGUGAAAGCCCCGGGCUCAACCCGGGAAAUGCAUCCGAAACCUCCUUGCUCGAGUAUGAGAGAGGGAAGCGGAAUUCCUGGUGUAGAGGUGAAAUUCGUAGAUAUCAGGAGGAACACCAGUGGCGAAGGCGGCGAUCUGGGAAGAUACUGACGCUGAGGUGCGAAAGCGUGGGGAGCAAACAGG